GACGAACGCAGUCGGCGUGCUUAACACAUGCAAGUCGAGCGAUGAAGCACCUUCGGGUGUGAAUUAGCGGCGAACGGGUGAGGAACACGUGAGAAAUCUGCCUUCAACUCUGGGAUAACUCCGGGAAACCGGGGCUAAUACAGGAUAUGAAACCUGCGGGCAUCCGCGGGUUUGGAAAGUUUUUCUGUUGAAGAUGAUCUCGCGGCCUAUCAGCUUGUUGGUGAGGUAAUCGCUCACCAAUGCGACGACGGGUAGCCGGCCUGAGAGGGCGACCGGCCACACUGGGUCUGAGACACGGCCCCGACUCCUACGGGAGGCAGCAGUGGGGAAUAUUGGGCAAUGGAGGAAACUCUGACCCAGAGACCCCGCGUGCGGGAUGAAGGCCUUCGGGUUGUAAACCGCUUUCAGCAGGGAAGAAGCGAAAGUGACGGUACCUGCAGAAGAAGCACCGGCUAACUAUGUGCCAGCAGCCGCGGUAAUACAUAGGGUGCGAGCGUUGUCCGGAAUUAUUGGGCGUAAAGAGCUCGUAGGUGGUUCGUCACGUCGGAUGUGAAAUUCUGGGGCUUAACCCCAGACCUGCGUUCGAUACGGGCGAGCUUGAGUAUGGUAGGGGAGUCUGGAAUUCCUGGUGUAGCGGUGGAAUGCGCAGAUAUCAGGAGGAACACCAAUGGCGAAGGCAGGACU
Molecule: ribosomal RNA, 684 nt
Filed under: Candidatus Planktophila sp.
Lineage: Bacteria; Bacillati; Actinomycetota; Actinomycetes; Candidatus Nanopelagicales; Candidatus Nanopelagicaceae
Description: bacterial SSU rRNA
Rfam family: Bacterial small subunit ribosomal RNA
Source: RNAcentral